GCUUGUCUCAAAGAUUAAGCCAUGCAUGUCUAAGUGUAAAUAAGUCUAUACUGUGAAACUGCGAAUGGCUCAUUAAAUCAGUUAUAGUUUAUUUGAUGGUACCUACUACUCGGAUAACCGUAGUAAUUCUAGAGCUAAUACGUGCGCACAACCCGACUUCUGGAAGGGUCGUAUUUAUUAGAUAAAAGGCCAGCCGGGCUUUGCCCGACCUGCGGUGAAUCAUGAUAACUUCACGAAUCGUAUGGCCUUGUGCCGACGAUGUUUCAUUCAAAUUUCUGCCCUAUCAACUUUCAACCGUAAGGUAGUGGCCUACGGUGGUGGUAACGGGUGACGGAGGAUUAGGGUUCGAUUCCGGAGAGGGAGCCUGAGAAACGGCUACCACAUCCAAGGAAGGCAGCAGG
Molecule: ribosomal RNA, 401 nt
Filed under: Chlamydomonas reinhardtii
Lineage: Eukaryota; Viridiplantae; Chlorophyta; Chlorophyceae; Chlamydomonadales; Chlamydomonadaceae
Description: partial small subunit ribosomal RNA
Rfam family: Eukaryotic small subunit ribosomal RNA
Source: RNAcentral